GGUCAAGUUAUUAAGGGUGCAGGGCGGAUGCCUUGGCACUAGGAGCCGAUGAAGGACGUGAUAAGCUGCGAUAAGCUUCGGGGAGUUGCACGUAAACUUUGAUCCGAAGAUUUCCGAAUGAGGAAACUCACUUAGAGUAAUGUCUAAGUAUCAUUAAGUGAAUACAUAGCUUAAUGAGGGGAACUCAGGGAACUGAAACAUCUAAGUACCUGAAGGAAGAGAAAGAAAUUCGAUUCCGUAAGUAGCGGCGAGCGAACGCGGAUUAGCCCAAACCAAUAAAGUUUUCUUUAUUGGGGUUGCGGACAUAUCAUAACGAAGAGGUAUCGUAAUUGAAGAGGUUUGGAAAGACCCACCACAGAAGGUAAUAGUCCUGUAUGUUAAACGAGAAGACUUUAGAUAUGAUCCAGAGUACCACGGGACACGUGAAACCCUGUGGGAAGCAGGAGGGACCACCCUCCAAGGCUAAAUACUACCUAGUGACCGAUAGC
This 488-nucleotide ribosomal RNA is filed under the name Clostridioides difficile. Its description in RNAcentral is "partial 23S ribosomal RNA". It matches the Rfam family "Bacterial large subunit ribosomal RNA", at positions 1 to 491 of the family's 2925-position model. The record is from RNAcentral. Lineage: Bacteria; Bacillati; Bacillota; Clostridia; Peptostreptococcales; Peptostreptococcaceae.